AUCAAGAAAGUGAAAGAACCAAUAACAUAUAGGCGCUAUAUUUGAGAGUGCUGACAGGCAGAUGAACAAAAUUUUUCUGCUUUCCUCUUUCUUUCCUUUUUUCUCAUCAGGAAGCGGACAAUUUUUAAAAUCA
This 133-nucleotide non-coding RNA is filed under the name Chaetoceros affinis. Lineage: Eukaryota; Bacillariophyta; Thalassiosirophyceae; Chaetocerotales; Chaetocerotaceae. The record is from RNAcentral.